GGGUAGAAAUGCCCUCCUCGCCGCUGGCCUCAGCCACCGUGCACGUGCGCUCUCUGGAAAACCCUGAUUUAAGCCAAAUGUUUUGACUUUCCGAACAACUGCACGCAAUUUGGGGGCUGUCCGGUGGUUGUAAGAGCCCAAGUGCGCCUGGUUGCAGAUUACCCGGGCUGUCUCUUCUGGAAGUAUGGCCCGGGUUAUUUUAUUUUCUUUUUUAAGCUUGCAUCAAAAUAAGUACACGUGCUUGCAAUUUGCCAAUGGAAAGCACAGCUUUUUUAUUUAUUUCAUUUAUUUUUUUUUGUCAAAUCAUUAAAUAGCUGUCAUGUUAUCAUAGGAACAGAUAUUCCUGUGAAAUGUAAAGCAGGAGGAAGGGAAGUGUAAUUGAGGAAGCAAAAGGAAGAGGAAAGUUGAAGACAUGAGGGAGUGGGAUACAUCUUCAGGGCAAGGCAGAGGCCAGGAGAAAGGAAAACUGAGGAGCAUGUCCCUGCUGUUUUCCAGUGUUUGGAUGAUAAAAACCAGCUGUAUAUCAGUUCUAGGCAGCUAACGUGCUUCAGCCUGGUACGCCACCAGUUUGGACUAGUUGAGCAGUCUUUUCGAGAAAGGUUUCCUUCUGCUUCAGCUGACCUACAAAGACACCCAAGUGCUACUGCAGAUCAAAUGACAGGUUCAGCGUCUGCCAGAGUUGAGCUUUUGAGUCUAUAUUCCUUGUUCAUUCACUUGAAAGUCAAUUUUGCAAUAU
Manacus vitellinus (golden-collared manakin) is the source of this 736-nucleotide long non-coding RNA. RefSeq lists it as uncharacterized. The record is from RefSeq and is a predicted model, not a curated record. The transcript has 3 exons. NCBI's taxonomy places the organism in Eukaryota, Metazoa, Chordata, Aves, Passeriformes, Pipridae.